RNAcentral lists this ribosomal RNA (468 nucleotides) under uncultured bacterium. RNAcentral describes it as "partial 16S ribosomal RNA". It matches the Rfam family "Bacterial small subunit ribosomal RNA", at positions 28 to 507 of the family's 1533-position model. The record is from RNAcentral.
GACGAACGCUGGCGGCGUGCUUAACACAUGCAAGUCGAACGGAAAGGCCCUGCUUUUGUGGGGUGCUCGAGUGGCGAACGGGUGAGUAACACGUGAGUAACCUGCCCUUGACUUUGGGAUAACUUCAGGAAAAUGGGGCUAAUACCGGAUAGGAGCUCCUGCUGCAUGGUGGGGGUUGGAAAGUUUCGGCGGUUGGGGAUGGACUCGCGGCUUACCAGCUUGUUGGUGGGGUAGUGGCUUACCAAGGCUUUGAAGGGUAGCCCGCCUGGGAGGGGUACCGGCGACAUUGGGACUGAGAGACGGCCCAGACUCCUACGGUAGGCAGCAGUGGGGAGUAUUGCGCAGUGGGCGGAAGCCUGAUGCAGCAGCGCCGCGUGCGGAAUGACGGCCUUCGAGUUAUGAACCGCUUUCGCCUGUGACGAAGCGUGAGUGACGGUAAUGAGUAAAGAAGCACCGGCUAACUACGUG